RNAcentral lists this transfer RNA (74 nucleotides) under Haliotis rufescens (red abalone). RNAcentral's name for it is "tRNA-Arg". It matches the Rfam family "tRNA". From Rfam's summary of the family: Transfer RNA (tRNA) molecules are approximately 80 nucleotides in length. The record is from RNAcentral. Lineage: Eukaryota; Metazoa; Mollusca; Gastropoda; Lepetellida; Haliotidae.
GGCCGGUUAGCUCAAAUGGAUAGAGCGAUGCUUUCCUAAGGCAAGGGUUGUGGGUUCAAGUCCCACACCGGCCU